This 513-nucleotide ribosomal RNA is filed under the name Bifidobacterium pseudocatenulatum. RNAcentral's name for it is "bacterial SSU rRNA". It matches the Rfam family "Bacterial small subunit ribosomal RNA", at positions 165 to 690 of the family's 1533-position model. Lineage: Bacteria; Bacillati; Actinomycetota; Actinomycetes; Bifidobacteriales; Bifidobacteriaceae. The record is from RNAcentral.
AAUGCCGGAUGCUCCGACUCCUCGCAUGGGGUGUCGGGAAAGAUUUCAUCGGUAUGGGAUGGGGUCGCGUCCUAUCAGGUAGUCGGCGGGGUAACGGCCCACCGAGCCUACGACGGGUAGCCGGCCUGAGAGGGCGACCGGCCACAUUGGGACUGAGAUACGGCCCAGACUCCUACGGGAGGCAGCAGUGGGGAAUAUUGCACAAUGGGCGCAAGCCUGAUGCAGCGACGCCGCGUGCGGGAUGACGGCCUUCGGGUUGUAAACCGCUUUUGAUCGGGAGCAAGCCUUCGGGUGAGUGUACCUUUCGAAUAAGCACCGGCUAACUACGUGCCAGCAGCCGCGGUAAUACGUAGGGUGCAAGCGUUAUCCGGAAUUAUUGGGCGUAAAGGGCUCGUAGGCGGUUCGUCGCGUCCGGUGUGAAAGUCCAUCGCUUAACGGUGGAUCUGCGCCGGGUACGGGCGGGCUGGAGUGCGGUAGGGGAGACUGGAAUUCCCGGUGUAACGGUGGAAUGUG